CCUACGGGAGGCAGCAGUGGGGAAUAUUGCGCAAUGGGGGAAACCCUGACGCAGCGACGCCGCGUGGGUGAUGAAGGCCUUCGGGUCGUAAAGCCCUGUCGUAGGGGAAGAACCGGAGCACGGCUAAUAUCCGUGCUCCCUGACGGUACCCUACAAGAAAGCACCGGCUAACUCCGUGCCAGCAGCCGCGGUAAUACGGAGGGUGCAAGCGUUGUUCGGAAUCACUGGGCGUAAAGCGCGUGCAGGCGGUCGACUAAGUCUGGUGUGAAAGCCCGGGGCUCACCCCCGGAAGUGCGCUGGAAACUGGUCAACUAGAGUACGGGAGAGGGAAGUGGAAUUCCUGGUGUAGCGGUGAAAUGCGUAGAUAUCAGGAGGAACACCGGCGGCGAAGGCGGCUUCCUGGACCGAUACUGACGCUGAGACGCGAAAGCGUGGGGAGCAAACAGGAUUAGAUACCCUGGUAGUCCACGCUGUAAACGAUGGGUACUAGGUGCUGGGGGUGUUGACCCCUCCGGUGCCGCAGCUAACGCAUUAAGUACCCCGCCUGGGGACUACGGUCGCAAGAUUAAAACUCAAAGGAAUUGACGGAAUCGUCGACUGCAGGACACU
RNAcentral lists this ribosomal RNA (609 nucleotides) under uncultured bacterium. Its description in RNAcentral is "bacterial SSU rRNA". It matches the Rfam family "Bacterial small subunit ribosomal RNA", at positions 338 to 938 of the family's 1533-position model. The record is from RNAcentral.